Silurus meridionalis is the source of this 407-nucleotide long non-coding RNA. RefSeq lists it as uncharacterized. The record is from RefSeq and is a predicted model, not a curated record. The transcript has 4 exons. NCBI's taxonomy places the organism in Eukaryota, Metazoa, Chordata, Actinopteri, Siluriformes, Siluridae.
AUUCAGCCUGGACCUUCUCUGUGCACAACUGGGCUGGAUUUGGACCAUCUCCCAUGUUAUACGAAACAGUGUGUGGCUCAUCUUGAACACUUCGCUGAAACAAACACAAACAGAGGAAACAAAGUAAAGAAACGUCUCUGUAGCAGCAAUUUUCAGGCUACUUGGGCGACUUGGCCAAAAUGGCCUUAAGGAGAACGUGGCAGCAUCAGUGGAGGAUCUAACAAAAAGCAUAACUGAGUUCAGGGGACAAAAUGAUUUGCCGUGGGAGCUGCAGCUCGCAGUGGUUUAUGCCACUCAUGAUCUGGCACCCAGCAGCCCCACGCUUUGGAACCGUGGAAGAAAGACCUCACAAAGCCCGUUCCUCCAGCCGUCACCAAGUGCCUGAAGCAGAUCAGCUUUCUCUGUUC